GCCACGUGACACAGUCGGCCUCCCAACUGUAGAUGUUUGAAAUGCAGAAGUUGACCUUCGACCUUGUUCCAUAUGCCUCACUGUAUUUUCCUUCAUUGCUGCAGACUGGUUGCACCAGUACUGGAACGCUUUUGAGUCAUGCAGCACAAUUCCACAAGUGUUGGAUCACAUGCAGGUUUUGUCCUGCAUGCUGGCUGUACAGUAUCUCACAGCUCUCGUGGCACUCACGCCAACAUCCAGUCCGCUGGAGUCGGGAAUGGCGUCGUGGAUGUUGCAGUAGUAACCCAGGCCCACGAUGCUGAAGCGGACCAAAGCGCCCAUGUAGAGGGAGAGGAUGGGGAUGAGGAGAGGCUCUACGCAUUCCAGAUUGCUGUGGAGGAGAAUGGCCACGAACACGAUCUGCAAGAAGAGAACCACCGUCAAUCCGUGUGAUCCAGCUCGACUACUGCAACGCACUUCUUGUCGGGAUCCCCAGCAAGAACAUCCAGAAGGUGCAAUACGUACAGAAUAGUGCUGCUAGGAUCCUGAUGAGAGUGCGGAAAUAUGAACAUAUCACACCAAUGAUCAAAUCCCUUCAUUGGCUUCCUGUUCCACUCAGAAUUGAAUACCAAGUCUCCCUACUAAACCACCAGUUCCUCAAAGGAAACGCCCCCCUCUGCCUCAAAGAACUACUCACGAGCAAAUUCUCCACCAGACACCUCCGCUCUGGACAGGCUAACCCCCUCCAACCUCCCAGGACAAAGCUACGAACAAGGGGAGACCGGGCUUUCUGCUCCGCCGCUUCCAGUCUGUGGAACGCUCUCCCUGACCACCUGAAGGCACCACAGACUGUGGAUGCUUUUAAAAAGGCUUAAAAACCCUUCUUUUUAAAAAAAACAAAACUUUUUUUAGCUAUAUGAAUACUAG
Long non-coding RNA from Nerophis ophidion (straightnose pipefish), 906 nucleotides. RefSeq lists it as uncharacterized. The transcript has 3 exons. The record is from RefSeq and is a predicted model, not a curated record. NCBI's taxonomy places the organism in Eukaryota, Metazoa, Chordata, Actinopteri, Syngnathiformes, Syngnathidae.